This 497-nucleotide ribosomal RNA is filed under the name uncultured bacterium. Its description in RNAcentral is "partial 16S ribosomal RNA". It matches the Rfam family "Bacterial small subunit ribosomal RNA", at positions 28 to 507 of the family's 1533-position model. The record is from RNAcentral.
GAUGAACGCUGGCGGCGUGCCUAAUACAUGCAAGUCGAGCGAACAGACGAGGAGCUUGCUCCUCUGACGUUAGCGGCGGACGGGUGAGUAACACGUGGAUAACCUACCUAUAAGACUGGGAUAACUUCGGGACACCGGAGCUAAUACCGGAUAAUAUCUUGAACCGCAUGGUUCAAUAGUGAAAGGCGGUUUUGCUGUCACUUAUAGAUGGAUCCGCGCCGCAUUAGCUAGUUGGUAAGGUAACGGCUUACCAAGGCAACGAUGCGUAGCCGACCUGAGAGGGGGAUCGGCCACACUGGAACUGAGACACGGUCCAGACUCCUACGGGAGGCAGCAGUAGGGAAUCUUCCGCAAUGGGCGAAAGCCUGACGGAGCAACGCCGCGUGAGUGAUGAAGGCCUUCGGAUCGUAAAACUCUGUUAUUAGGGAAGAACAAAUGUGUAAGUAACUGUGCACGUCUUGACGGUACCUAAUCAGAAAGCAACGGCUAACUACGUG